This 118-nucleotide small nucleolar RNA is filed under the name Giardia lamblia P15. Its description in RNAcentral is "GLsR23 sRNA H/ACA-box". It matches the Rfam family "Small nucleolar RNA GlsR23", at positions 35 to 151 of the family's 151-position model. The record is from RNAcentral. Lineage: Eukaryota; Fornicata; Diplomonadida; Hexamitidae.
AAAAAUCGCCUUGUCGUCUCAUGCCUACGAUGGGCUAAAGAAGCACUGUGGCGAAACAUGCACUGGGUGGCCAUUGCGUCUGCGGUAGACCCGCCGAUUCCACAGCCCAGAAACAUCC